UACGGGUCCACUCCCGGAUAUUCCGGAGCC
This 30-nucleotide small RNA is filed under the name Bombyx mori (domestic silkworm). RNAcentral describes it as "ovarian small RNA-21138". Lineage: Eukaryota; Metazoa; Arthropoda; Insecta; Lepidoptera; Bombycidae. The record is from RNAcentral.